Molecule: long non-coding RNA, 518 nt
Organism: Gallus gallus (chicken)
Lineage: Eukaryota; Metazoa; Chordata; Aves; Galliformes; Phasianidae
Source: Ensembl
CAAUGGUCCUUGCGAGUCCCGUCCAAUACAGGACAUUUUGUGAUUUUACAGUCUUGUUGCUUUCCUCCAACAGGAAUUUUAAGCACUCAUACAUACCUCAGUCAUCCGACACCACUUAGUUCACAGCUCUGAGGUUGCUUGUUUAAGUCAAAGCUUCAGGAGAUCACCAUAUUUUCAGGACCAGUAAUUUCUGUCUCAAGCUCACUGUCUGGUGCCGAGAUCCAUAGGAGAUAUCACCAACAUGAACUGGGCCAGAGAUCCACAUGCCAGAGUCUCAGCAGCUCUUGGAAAUGUCCGUGGAGGAUUGUUUCCCUGUGCCCACGAUGACUCUCAGAUGGAUGUCAGUCUGUUUGUGUGAGUUUGACCAUGGUAAAAGUACUUCCUAAAUUCAGCACGGGUGACUCUGGAACUGCGUGGUCCUACAGUGACAUUUCUGCCUGGAUUUCUGAUGAUCUCUGAAUCAGUGUGCAACUCCUCAAUAUUUCUGCAUAUUGAAGGCUUUGAUCUGGCACAUCCAA